AUGGAAGCUUCUCAAGGGUCAGCAGCAGUGGCCUCCGUUCCCUGUGGGUCACAAUUCACGUGGGUCUUACCUCCCUGCAGGUUAAGCUCCCUGCUCUGUAGGCACGGGGCCGGGGCGGGGGCGUCUGGGGCUGUGUGACUGGCAGGCCCAGGCUUCUGGGCCAGCUCUCUGGUCGCCGCUGAGCGACCGUCCGAGGCCAGCACGUUUCCUUACCAAUCUCCUUACCUGGACCGGCGGGUCUCCACAAGAAAGUAAGGAGAGGCUGCGAGGCCGCUGGCAGCCUUUCUUCCCCGUUUGCAGUGUCACAACAAUGAUUCAUCCCACGAAUUAGCCUGGAGACUCCCCGGACACACAAGGUUAUAUAGAAAACAACUUUUACUUUUACUCAAACACACAAUUCCCACUCGCGGCGCCCUCCCUCCGGCCCGUGGCCGGCUUGGCGAGGCGGGUGAUGAGCAUCCCAAGCCUAGCGCCGUCGGGCAGCGGAGCCCUCAGGUGACCCCUGAAGACUAGGGUGCAGUCGGGGCCGCUGGGGCGCGGAGCGGGGGCACCUCGUCCACGGGACCGUCGGGGUCGUCUGGGGGAGGCGGGGAAGAGGGGGUACGCCAGGCCCUGAGCUCCGACAGCGCCCCCGCACGGGCCGGCUUAGGCGGGGUCUCCGUGGGCUGGUGAGGGGGCUCCCCGCCGGCAGCCGGGCCCGCGGGCGCCACCCCCACGAGCUCGCGGCCCAGCGCGGCCGGGCGGCGGGAGCGGCGCGCCGCGGGGAAGGUGCGCGCGGCGGGAGAGCGAGCGGAGCGAGAAGAGGGGAGCGGCGUCCGCCCCCGCCGUGCGGAGAGCCGCAGAGCCGAGCCGGCGCGCCCGGGCCGGGGAGCGCGCCCGAGGCCCGGCGAGCGCCAGCGCCGGCGCCGGAGGGUCGUGCCCGCGCCCGCGCCCGCGCCCGGGUCUCGGGCCCCCGACCGGCGGCGGCGGCGAGGCCGGGCGGCCACCUGCUGCGCCGCGUGAGGGCCGCGCGUCCGCGCUCCCGGGGCCCCGCCGCCCCCACCCCGCGGACCCAGAGCCUCCGGCGCUUCGCGGAGCCGCCCGCGCUCCCGUGCAGGUGACGCCUCAGAAAACACACGACGAGGGGAGUCGGUGUGUCCGGGGGAAGUUGUUGGUGGACGAAGUGUCGGUGCCUUCUGGCGCCAGAGGCCGCGGCAGGGGAGAGGAGUGGACGGUCGUUAACUCUUCUGCUUCAGGUAAUGCUUUAUUUGUUAUACACGUUUUAGGCUUUGGUUGCCAUUGAGGGGUUCUGGGGUUGAUCUAAGAAAUGCUCACAUUUUUAAUCAACACCUAUUUGUUGAACGGACGUUUCCUCUCAGAUGGGGCGUUAAUACGAGGUGAACAGUGAGCAAAGCCUGAGUGGUUACUCCAGUGGACUAGUUACCAACCAGGCUUUGGCUUUGGAAAUGCAAAGUGUAAAGGAAUACCACCGUUGGGGUUAGACUCGUGUCGGUACAAGCGGCAGCUGGCACGGUGUCCCUGCUGAAUACUUAAUUUUGAGCCAUAAAUCUAUCAAGUGGGAGACGAGCAGCUGUGUGAGCCUCUGAGCGCCCACCCCACACCUUCCUCAACUGAUAGCUUAAAAUAUCCCCACUCCCUAUUCCAGCCGGCACGCUUCCUUCAUUUACAUAAUUCGGGCACGUGACCGUGGAAUAGAAUCUGUUUAGACCCUGGUCUCCCUGGAGCUCACACCUGGGAUGAUGGAGCGCCGUGAUCACUCCUUAGAGCCAUGUGAGGCGGUAGGAUUGUGGGGAGCAGCAUUUCUAGAGUCUGUGCAGUCACAUCAGCGGUCCCUGACUGUGGGGCCUGUGGAGGACUGAGCGGGGCUGGUUUCUUCUCUCUGCCCCAGUGUUGUGCUGAGCCAUAUUGGAGGCUAAGGUAGAAGAAAAAUCAGUACUACAGAUCCUGUCUUUAUUUAAAACUGUGAUGUGUUUUGUGCAGUGUGGAUUCUGUGUUCAUUUUGAUGUUUUGAAACAGUCCAUUGUACCGUUUGUCUUCAGGAGUCUUUGGUACUCCCUGAAAUGUUGUGCCUGGAGCGAGGGCCUCCCUUGGUCCAGACUUGCCUCCUGGUCAAGUUUCUUAGCUUCUCUGAGCAGCUGUCCUCAAUGAACAAAUUAAAAAGUGGCACCUGCAAGGCUGCUGCCCGGCUCACACACAGCAUAUGGCCACUGCGUGGGACCAGACCCCUCGGGCUCAGGGAAGGGUGGGUGUCCUAUUCAUAUUGUUGUUCAGCUUGGUGAUCU
This 2282-nucleotide long non-coding RNA is filed under the name Bos indicus x Bos taurus (hybrid cattle). RNAcentral describes it as "lncRNA (ENSBIXG00005001744.1)". Lineage: Eukaryota; Metazoa; Chordata; Mammalia; Artiodactyla; Bovidae. The record is from RNAcentral.